This 253-nucleotide ribosomal RNA is filed under the name uncultured bacterium. RNAcentral's name for it is "partial 16S ribosomal RNA". It matches the Rfam family "Bacterial small subunit ribosomal RNA", at positions 524 to 776 of the family's 1533-position model. The record is from RNAcentral.
UACGUAGGUGGCAAGCGUUGUCCGGAAUUAUUGGGCGUAAAGCGCGCGCAGGCGGUCCUUUAAGUCUGAUGUGAAAGCCCACGGCUCAACCGUGGAGGGUCAUUGGAAACUGGGGGACUUGAGUGCAGAAGAGGAAAGCGGAAUUCCACGUGUAGCGGUGAAAUGCGUAGAGAUGUGGAGGAACACCAGUGGCGAAGGCGGCUUUCUGGUCUGUAACUGACACUGAGGCGCGAAAGCGUGGGGAGCGAACAGG